This 248-nucleotide long non-coding RNA is filed under the name Ananas comosus (pineapple). Its description in RNAcentral is "long non-coding RNA (ACOM_LNC022118)". The record is from RNAcentral. Lineage: Eukaryota; Viridiplantae; Streptophyta; Magnoliopsida; Poales; Bromeliaceae.
UAUAACUUCAUAAAUAUUUUUUGAAAAUGAGCUUCUUAACUGACCGUCCCUAGCGCAAAUGGCAAAGGGCUUGAUGGUUGGCACCCGAGAUCCUAAGUUUGAAUCCUAGUUGAUUCAUAUUUCCAGCUAAGUUUAUUUUUAAAAAAGAUAAACGAAGCGGGUAGCAUACUACGUAUCUCUCUCAAAAAAGAAAACGAGCUCCUUUACACCAGAUCUACCAUGGAACCCUCAACUUUAUUUUUUUUAAA